GUCUUUUAUUAUUCUCAACUAACUCUGUCAAACAAACAAGCGUAAACAUCAGAGUCUUGCGACCCUGUGCUAAUGUAGAGUCACUGCGCACCGUAAACGGCACACAGCUCUCCAAAGAUUUGUAAUGAUCCUUCCGCAGGUUCACCUACGGAAA
This 154-nucleotide unclassified non-coding RNA is filed under the name uncultured fungus. RNAcentral describes it as "sequence contains ITS1". Lineage: Eukaryota; Fungi. The record is from RNAcentral.